RNAcentral lists this ribosomal RNA (222 nucleotides) under Vibrio parahaemolyticus. Its description in RNAcentral is "partial 16S ribosomal RNA". It matches the Rfam family "Bacterial small subunit ribosomal RNA", at positions 1 to 220 of the family's 1533-position model. The record is from RNAcentral. Lineage: Bacteria; Pseudomonadati; Pseudomonadota; Gammaproteobacteria; Vibrionales; Vibrionaceae.
AAAUUGAAGAGUUUGAUCAUGGCUCAGAUUGAACGCUGGCGGCAGGCCUAACACAUGCAAGUCGAGCGGAAACGAGUUAUCAGAACCUUCGGGGGACGAUAACGGCGUCGAGCGGCGGACGGGUGAGUAAUGCCUAGGAAAUUGCCCUGAUGUGGGGAAUAACCAUUGGAAACGAUGGCUAAUACCGCAUGAUGCCUACGGGCCAAAGAGGGGGACCUUCGG